This 219-nucleotide ribosomal RNA is filed under the name Nephrochlamys subsolitaria. Its description in RNAcentral is "partial 28S ribosomal RNA". It matches the Rfam family "Eukaryotic large subunit ribosomal RNA", at positions 1 to 227 of the family's 3401-position model. Lineage: Eukaryota; Viridiplantae; Chlorophyta; Chlorophyceae; Sphaeropleales; Selenastraceae. The record is from RNAcentral.
CGACCUGAGCUCAGGCAAGAACACCCGCUGAACUUAAGCAUAUCAAUAAGCGGAGGAAAAGAAACUAACCAGGAUGCGCUUAGUAACGGCGAGCGAACCGCGCAAAGCCCAACUUAAAAUCUCCCUUUGGAGAAUUGUAGUCUAUAGAAGCGUCCUCUGCAGCGGACCGAGCUCAAAUCUUCUGGAAAGGAGUGUCAGAGAGGGUGAGAACCCCGUCGG